CACACUGAAUGUGGGAGGAGCUAGGCUAGGGUUGCAAUGAGGCGAUGGUUUUGUGAAAAAUGAGAGAAUGAGACAGGGGAGGUGGUGCUGCUGUUUAUAUAGGUCCUCCUCGUCGCAGGCAGUUAGCUCUUUUCAUUGAUUUGGUUUUUUUUUUGAAAUGUUUAUUGCUGACAUGGCCAAGGAUGUUUUAGAAACAGAGGAGGAGGGAGAGAGUACGCAGAGAGUGGUUCGGAGGAGUUUUGAUUUCGUGGGGGUUGAGAGAAGGCCCACCAAUGUUAGUGGGCUUUUAGAGCCCAUGGAGGGCUUCACUUUCGAAUCAUUCGAGGAAAUCUCCGUCGAUGGAAGGUUGGGGAAAAAUUUUCCGAUGUGGUCCAGUAUCUAUGUUCCAGGGUGUGCCUAAACAGAAGCUCUGAGCUCACUUGGGUUCAUUAAUUUGGUGUAGCUGGAAAUCUUGCACCUCAGCCAAUGUAGACUUUGUCGGAUCCAAUCUCAAUUAUAUGCCAAUGAAUUCCAACUCUUCUACAAAAAUGAGGUGGAGGAUGCAGUUGUGGUUCAUGUCAGUUUUUUUCUCCAUGAGUGCAAUGGUCCUAAUUGGCAAUCUAGAUCAUUUCAAGUCAGUUUGUUGCAAUAGACUGAUAUAUCGUCAACAUCAACAUAGACUCCAUUUCUUCUAGUUGGGCUUCCUUUUUGUACAUUUGAGAAAUGUUCUACAACUUCACAGUUGUUCUGUUAUUGGAGCUAGCUCAAUAUUAUUAUGAUCAAGCUUUGGUAGUGGUAUCUGAAAUACUCCAAACUGGAGAAGCAUCCCUCAUUCUUUCUCUCUCUCAGGCUGGAGUGGGGGUGUGUUGGAUAUCUUGUUGUCUUUCUUAGUUACCACAGAAACAUUGAAUUAGCCAAGCGCACUGAAAUUGCUGUAAUUGUACAUGUUCAACAUCAUGAAAACCUUUGUUUCCAAGGAGGUUUGGUUUUUUUCUUUUAGAUAGCUGAAAUUUGUUGAUACAUUCUGUAAAGGGAACUUUAAUUCUAGAAGCAAGUCCUAAAGUUUCACGUACGGUAGGAUAAUGUUUUGCAGCAGAAGGAGAUUGAUGCUUUAUGUAAUGAAAUUUUUUAAAAGUUUUCUGAUGUGUUGUGUGAACUUAAGGACAUCUUUUAAGGUCAAUA
Molecule: non-coding RNA, 1161 nt
Organism: Corylus avellana
Lineage: Eukaryota; Viridiplantae; Streptophyta; Magnoliopsida; Fagales; Betulaceae
Source: RefSeq, a predicted model, not a curated record